This 468-nucleotide ribosomal RNA is filed under the name uncultured bacterium. RNAcentral's name for it is "partial 16S ribosomal RNA". It matches the Rfam family "Bacterial small subunit ribosomal RNA", at positions 28 to 507 of the family's 1533-position model. The record is from RNAcentral.
GACGAACGCUGGCGGCGUGCUUAACACAUGCAAGUCGAACGGAAAGGCCCUGCUGUGGGGGUGUGCUCGAGUGGGGUGCGUGUGAGUAGCACAUGAUUAACCUGCCCUUGGGUUUGGUAUAACUACUGGGAACUGGUGCUGGUAGUGGAUAGCUGCUCCCGCUGCUUGUGGUGGGUUGGGAUGUUGCGGCGGGUGGGGAUGGACGCGCGGCUUAUCAGCUGGUUGGUGGGGGAGUGGCUUACCAAGGCUGUGACGGGUAGCCGGCCUGAGAGGGUGACCGGCCACAUUGGGACUGAGAUACGGCCCAGACUCCUACGGGAGGCAGCAGUGGGGAAUAUUGCGCAAUGGGCGGAAGCCUGACGCAGCGACGCCGCGUGGGGGAUGACGGCCUUCGGGUUGUAAACCGCUUUCGCCAGUGACGAAGCGCGAGUGACGGUACCGGGUAAAGAAGCACCGGCUAACUACGUG